GUGCCCCCACCCCUCCGCCCCUUUGUCCCCUGCGCUCCCCUCUCCUGUUCCCCAAACCCUGCGCUGCCUUCUGCCUCCCUCCUGUCCCUCCUGUCCCCUUCUGCCCCUUCUGUCCCCUCCUGUCCCUCCUGUUCCCUCCUGUCCCCAUCCCUGUCCCCUUCUGUCCCCUCCUGUCCCUCCUGUCCCCUCCUGUCCCUCCUGUUCCCUCCUGUCCCCUCCUGUCCCCAUCCCUGCCCCUAUUCCUGUCCCUACCCCCUUCCCUAUUCCUGUCCCCAUCCCUGUCCCCAUCCCUGUCCCCUCCUCUCCCCAUUCCUGUCCCCUUCUGUUCCUCCCCUCCCCAUCUCCUCUUGUUCCUUCCUGUCCCCUCCUGUCCCUAUCCCUGUCCCCUUCUGUCCCCUUCUGUCCCCUUCUGUCCCCAUCCUUGUCCCCAUUCCUGUCCCCAUUCCUGUCCCCUCCUGUCCCUACUCCUGUCCCUGUCCUUGUCCCUAUCCCUAUCCCUGUCCCCUUCUCUCCCCAUCCCUGUCCCCAUUCCUGUCCCCUCCUGUCCCCUCCUGUCCCUACUCCUGUCCCUGUCCUUGUCCCUAUCCCUGUCCCUAUCCCUGUCCCCUUCUCUCCCCAUUCCUGUCCCCAUCCCUGUUCCCAUUUCUGUCCCCUCCUGUCCCUAUUCCUGUCCCCUCCUCUCCCCUCUCCUGUCCCCUUCUGUCCCUCCCCUCCCCAUCUCCUCCUGUCCCUAUCCCUGUCCCUAUCCCUGUCCCCUCCUUUCCCCAUCCCUGUCCCUAUUGCUGUCCCCUCCUGUCCCUCCUGUCCCUCCCAUCCCCUCUGCUGUUCCCCCAUCCCCUCUUGUCCCUUUCAUCCCUUCUGUCCCUAUCCCUGUCCCCUCCUGUCCCCUCUUGUCCCUAUUCGUGUCCCCAUCCCUGUCCCCAUCCCUGUCCCCAUCCCUGUCCCCAUCCCUGCCCCUAUUCCUGUCCCCUCCUGUCCCCCUCCCUGCCCCUAUUCCCCUCCUGUCCCCAUUCCUGUCCCUAUUCCUGUCCCCUCCUCUCCCCUCUCCUGUGCCCUCCUGUCCCUCCCCUCCCCAUCCCCUCUUGUCCCUCCUGUUGUCCCCCCCUGUCCCCUCCUGUCCCCAUUCCUGUCCCUAUCCCUGUCCCUAUUCCUGUUCCCUCCUGGCCUUCCCCUCCUCUCUCUUGUCCCCCCCUGUCCCCAUUCCUGUCCCCUCCUGUCCUUAUCCCUGUCCCUAUCCCUGUUCCCAUUGCUGUCCCCUCCUGUCCCCAUUCCUGUCCCCAUGCAUCCGCUUCUGUCCCUCCUGUCCCUCCUGUCCCUCCUGCCCUCCCUGUCCCCCCUCCCGUCCCCCUCCUGUCCCCAUUCCUGUCCCCAUUCCUGGUCAAUCUGUCCCCUCCUGCCCCUCUCCUUCUGUCCUUCUGUCCCCGUCCCCUCACCUGUCCCUCCUGUCCCUCCUGUCCCCAUUGCCGCCCCUUCUGCUGUCCCUCUCAUCCCUCUCCCGUCCCUUUUCUGUCCCCUUCCUGCCCCUCCUGUCCCUUCUGUCGUCCCUUUUGUCCCCUUCUCCUGCCCCCCCUCCCAUCCCUCCUGUCCCUUUCCUGCCCCUUCUGCCCCCUCUCCUGUCCCUUCUGUCCCUUCUUUUGUCCCUUCUGCCCCCUCUCCUGUCCCUUCUGUCCCUUCUGUCCCUUCUUUUGUCCCUCCUGUCCCCUCUGCUUUUCCUUCUGUCCCUUCUCUUGUCCCUCUGUCCCCUCACCUGUCCCUCUCCCACCCCCCCGUCCCCUCUCCUGUCCCUUUUGUCCCUCCUGUCCCAUCUCCUGUCCGUCUGUCCUUUCUGUUCCUUGUCCCCCUGUCCCUUUCCCUUCUGUCCCUCCUGUCCCCUCGUGUCCCUUCUAUUCCUUCUUUUGUCCCUCCUGUCCCCAUUCCUGUCCCCAUUCCUGUCCCUCCUGUCCCUCCUGUCCCUCCUGUCCCCUCCGCUUUUCCGUCUGUCCCACCUCCUGUCCGUCUGUCCCCUCACCUGUCCCUCUCCCAUCCCUCCCGUCCCUCCCGUCCCGUCUGUCCGUCUGUCCGUCUGUCCCUUCUGUCCCUUGUCCCCCCGUCCCUCCAAUCCCUUCCCUGCUCGCUCCGGUCCCCAUUCCUGUCCUUCUGUCCGCCCAUCUCCCUUUUGUCCGUCUGUCCGUCUGUCCCCGCAGGCUCCGGCUCCGCAAGGCUGCAGCAUUAUGUAACGCGGCCCCCCCGGCGGCCCCCCCUCAUUUUGGGCUCAUUUCCUCCCAAAGAAGCGCAAACCAAAGACGGCUUUUUUUUGUCCUUCUCUUUUCUAUUCAAGUUUUGUNNNNNNNNNNNNNNNNNNNNNNNNNNN
RNAcentral lists this long non-coding RNA (2350 nucleotides) under Chrysolophus pictus (golden pheasant). RNAcentral describes it as "lncRNA (ENSCPIG00010005552.1)". The record is from RNAcentral. Lineage: Eukaryota; Metazoa; Chordata; Aves; Galliformes; Phasianidae.